GACUAAGACAUGCUAGUCGUGUGCCUCAGCCAAAACGAGGCACGGCGCACAGCUCAGUAACACGUGGCUAACCUGCCCUUANGACGAGAAUAACCCCGGGAAACUGGGGCUAAUGCUCGAUAGGUGAAGAACUCUGGAAUGAGUCUUCACUUAAAAGAGUCUACGUUAUGCUCGUANAUUUCGCUUAAGGAUGGGGCCGCGACCGAUCANGUUGUUGGUGAGGUAAUGGCUCACCAAGCCUUUUACCGGUGCGGGCCGUGAGAGCGGGAGCCCGGAGAUGGGCACUGAGACAAGGGCCCAGGCCCUACGGGGCGCAGCAGUCGCGAAAACUUUGCAAUACACGAAAGUGUGACAGGGCUAUCCCGAGUGCCAUCCGCUGAGGAAGGCUUUUACCCAGUCUANAAAGCUGGGAGAAUAAGGAGAGGGCAAGUCUGGUGUCAACCGCCCGGUAAUACCA
This 457-nucleotide ribosomal RNA is filed under the name uncultured archaeon. Its description in RNAcentral is "bacterial SSU rRNA". It matches the Rfam family "Archaeal small subunit ribosomal RNA", at positions 42 to 478 of the family's 1478-position model. The record is from RNAcentral.